UUCCGGUUGAUCCCGCCGGACCUGACUGCUAUCGGAUUGAUACUAAGCCAUGCGAGUCUUUGUAGUAAUACAAGGCAGACGGCUCAGUAACACGUAGUCAAUCUACCCUAUGGACAGGGAUAACCUCGGGAAACUGAGAAUAAUACCUGAUAGAUCAUUAUGCCUGGAAUGGUUUAUGGUCGAAAUGAUUUAUCGCCGUAGGAUGGGACUGCGGUCUAUCAGCUUGUUGGUGAGGUAAUGGCCCACCAAGGCUAUAACAGAUACGGGCUCUGAGAGGAGAAGCCCGGAGAUGGGUACUGUGACACGGACCAGGCCCUAUGGGGCGCAGCAGGCGAGAAAACUUUGCAAUGUGCGAAAGCACGACAAGGUUAAUCCGAGUGUUUUCCGCUAAAGAAAUCUUUUGUCAGUCCUAAAAACACUGAUGAAUAAGGGGUGGGCAAGUUCUGGUGUCAGCCGCCGCGGUAAAACCAGCACCUCAAGUGGUCAGGAGGAUUAUUGGGCCUAAAGCAUCCGUAGCCGGCUCUGUAAGUUUUCGGUUAAAUCUAUACGCUCAACGUAUAGGCUGCCGGGAAUACUGCAAAGCUAGGGAGUGGGAGAGGUAGACGGUACUCGGUAGGAAGGGGUAAAAUCCUUUGAUCUAUUGAUGACCACCUGUGGCGAAGGCGGUCUACUAGAACACGUCCGACGGUGAGGGAUGAAAGCUGGGGGAGCAAACCGGAUUAGAUACCCGGGUAGUCCCAGCUGUAAACUAUGCAAACUCAGUGAUGCACUGGCUUGUGGCCAGUGCAGUGCCGCAGGGAAGCCGUUAAGUUUGCCGCCUGGGAAGUACGUACGCAAGUAUGAAACUUAAAGGAAUUGGCGGGGGAGCACCACAAGGGGUGAAGCCUGCGGUUCAAUUGAGUCACGCGGG
RNAcentral lists this ribosomal RNA (910 nucleotides) under uncultured archaeon. RNAcentral's name for it is "bacterial SSU rRNA". It matches the Rfam family "Archaeal small subunit ribosomal RNA", at positions 1 to 921 of the family's 1478-position model. The record is from RNAcentral.